UACAGAGGGUGCGAGCGUUAAUCGGAAUUACUGGGCGUAAAGCGUGCGUAGACGGUUAUUUAAGUCAGAUGUGAAAGCCCCGGGCUUAACCUGGGAAUGGCCAUGGAAACUGGCGAACUGGAGUGUGGCAGAGGGGGGUGGAAUUCCGCGUGUAGCAGUGAAAUGCGUAGAGAUGCGGAGGAACACCGAUGGCGAAGGCAGCCCCCUGGGCUAGCACUGACGCUCAGGCACGAAAGCGUGGGGAGCAAACAGG
This 253-nucleotide ribosomal RNA is filed under the name uncultured prokaryote. RNAcentral's name for it is "partial 16S ribosomal RNA". It matches the Rfam family "Bacterial small subunit ribosomal RNA", at positions 524 to 776 of the family's 1533-position model. The record is from RNAcentral.